ACAGAUCGUCAGUAGGCUUCUGCCACAGUGCCGUUCCUCGUACCCCCCCCACAGCUGAGGGUUUGAGCCUCCUCAGCUCCUUUCACAGCAGUGCGUGGACCCUCUUGGAUCACUGACCCAGGGUCCGCCCACCAUGAGUGCCUACUGUCAGGAUCCCUCUGCUGCCUCUGGGUCCUCCGUCUCUGUAUUACACAACAUCUGACCCCUGAUCUGUGACACUGUUUGCCCAAAACACUCGGCCAACAAUCUUUCUAGAGGACCUUGCCCAGCUUAAAAAAACCAUCCCACGAUGCGUCUUUUGGGAGUGCCUGGCUCACAUUGUUUUUAUGAAGCAGAAAUGAUCCUUGCUACUGCCAGUAAUGAACAUACUGACUUUUGCUAGAACUGCUGUUCCUUUCUUUCCACAAUCAAUUCCUCUAUAAUUUCUCGCCUGCAGUGUUUACUGUGUGUGUCAUCAUAUCUGUGUAUAAAACACUAUGGCACCAUACAAAUAUGUUCACCCUUGUUUGCAUUUGAUAACGCAUGCGCAGCUAGAGGUUCUCCCUUCGAUGCUUCAGAAGGUUCUGCUGAUAUAUGUAAAGCGCUAUUCUGCAUUUUCAAGUUUUUCCCCCCAUUUCAUUCAUGUAUAAUUCCUACACAAGUCUGCAAGGAAAAAACCCAUAAGGAUAAGCACAAACUAAAGCAAAGCAUUCCUAAAAUGUGUUGUGUGUGACUGUUAACAUCAUAUCAAAAGCUGAAAAAAGCUGAGAGUGUGUCAGUGUUCAACAUGCCCUUUUUGUGUCGUUGACAAUGCUUGGAUGUAACGUGAGACUUUAAGUCACAAAGAAAAGGGACAUUUGAUUGUUUUUUUCCCUCUGAUUUCACAAGACUGAAAAUGCACAUGUGAAGAAGACAUGCAUCAGCAUUAAUAAGCAAUAUUGUUGUAAUGUGUUUGUUUUUCUGACAUUUUCCCUAUAGCCUGCCUUUGAAAUCAGAAAUAAACCACUCAUACACA
Molecule: long non-coding RNA, 994 nt
Organism: Notothenia coriiceps (black rockcod)
Lineage: Eukaryota; Metazoa; Chordata; Actinopteri; Perciformes; Nototheniidae
Exons: 2
Source: RefSeq, a predicted model, not a curated record